This 497-nucleotide ribosomal RNA is filed under the name uncultured bacterium. RNAcentral describes it as "partial 16S ribosomal RNA". It matches the Rfam family "Bacterial small subunit ribosomal RNA", at positions 28 to 507 of the family's 1533-position model. The record is from RNAcentral.
GAUGAACGCUGGCGGCGUGCCUAAUACAUGCAAGUCGAGCGAACAGACGAGGAGCUUGCUCCUCUGACGGUAGCGGCGGACGGGUGAGUAACACGUCGAUAACCUACCUAUAAGACUGGGAUAACUUCGGGAAACCGGUGCUAGUACCGGAUAAUAUAUUGAACGGCAUGGUUCAAUAGUUAAAGACGGUUUUGCUGUCACUUAUAGAUGGAUCCGCGCCGCAUUAGCUAGUUGGUAAGGUAACGGCUUACCAAGGCAACGAUGCGUAGCCGACCUGAGAGGGUGAUCCGCCACACUGGAACUGAGACACGGUCCAGACUCCGACGGGAGGCAGCAGUAGGGAAUCUUCCGCGAUGGGCGAAAGCUUGACGGAGCAACGCCGGGUGAGUGAUGAAGGUCUUCGGAUCGUAAAACUCUGUUAGUAGGGAAGAACAAAUGUGUAAGUAACUAUGCACGUCUUGACGGUACCUAAACAGAAAGCCACGGCUAACUACGUG